GUCGUGCGAGAAAGAUCUUCGGAUAUGAGUAGAGCGGCGGACGGGUGAGUAACGCGUAGGAAUCUACCUAGUAGAAGGGGAUAGCCCGAGGAAACUCGGAUUAAUACCGUAUACCUCCUUCGGGAGAAAGAAGGCCUCUCUUUGAAGCUUUCGCUACUAGAUGAGCCUGCGUAAGAUUAGCUUGUUGGUGAGGUAAAGGCUCACCAAGGCGACGAUCUUUAGCGGGUCUGAGAGGACGAUCCGCCACAUUGGGACUGAGACACGGCCCAGACUCCUACGGGAGGCAGCAGUGGGGAAUAUUGGACAAUGGGCGCAAGCCUGAUCCAGCCAUACCGCGUGUGUGAAGAAGGCCCUAGGGUUGUAAAGCACUUUAAGUUGGGAAGAAAAGUUAUUGAUUAAUACCCAAUAACCGUGACAUUACCAUCAGAAUAAGGACCGGCUAAUUCCGUGCCAGCAGCCGCGGUAAUACGGAAGGUCCAAGCGUUAAUCGGAAUUACUGGGCGUAAAGCGCGCGUAGGUGGUUUAUUAAGUUGGAUGUGAAAUCCCCGGGCUCAACCUGGGAACUGCAUCCAAAACUGAUUCACUAGAGUACGAUAGAGGGAGGUAGAAUUCACAGUGUAGCGGUGGAAUGCGUAGAUAUUGUGAAGAAUACCAAUGGCGAAGGCAGCCUCCUGGAUCUGUACUGACACUGAGGUGCGAAAGCGUGGGUAGCGAACAGGAUUAGAUACCCUGGUAGUCCACGCCGUAAACGAUGUCAACUAGCUGUUGGAGAACUAUGUUCUUCAGUGGCGCAGCUAACGUAGUAAGUUGACCGCCUGGGGAGUAC
This 826-nucleotide ribosomal RNA is filed under the name uncultured marine bacterium. Its description in RNAcentral is "bacterial SSU rRNA". It matches the Rfam family "Bacterial small subunit ribosomal RNA", at positions 61 to 883 of the family's 1533-position model. The record is from RNAcentral.